RNAcentral lists this ribosomal RNA (1398 nucleotides) under uncultured marine bacterium. Its description in RNAcentral is "bacterial SSU rRNA". It matches the Rfam family "Bacterial small subunit ribosomal RNA". The record is from RNAcentral.
GAGUUUGAUCCUGGCUCAGAUUGAACGCUGGCGGUAUGCUUAACACAUGCAAGUCGAACGGAAACGAUACUAGCUUGCUAGUAGGCGUCGAGUGGCGGACGGGUGAGUAACGCGUAGGAAUCUGCCUGAUAGUGGGGGAUAGCCCGGAGAAAUUCGGAUUGAUACCGCAUAAUCUAUUCGUAGUAAAGUGGGGGACUUUCGAGCCUCACGCUAUCAGAUGAGCCUGCGUAAGAUUAGCUUGUUGGUAGGGUAAAAGCCUACCAAGGCGACGAUCUUUAGCUGGUCUGAGAGGAUGAUCAGCCACAUCGGGACUGAGACACGGCCCGAACUCCUACGGGAGGCAGCAGUGGGGAAUAUUGGACAAUGGGGGCAACCCUGAUCCAGCAAUACCGCGUGUGUGAAGAAGGCCUGAGGGUUGUAAAGCACUUUCAAUUGUGAAGAAAAGUUAACGGUUAAUAACCGUUAGCCUCGACGUUAACUUUAGAAGAAGCACCGGCUAACUCCGUGCCAGCAGCCGCGGUAGUACGGAGGGUGCAAGCGUUAAUCGGAAUUACUGGGCGUAAAGCGUGCGUAGGUGGUUUAUUAAGUCAGAUGUGAAAGCCCCGGGCUUAACCUGGGAACUGCAUUUGAAACUGGUAAACUAGAGUAUGGUAGAGGAAAGUGGAAUUUCUGGUGUAGCGGUGAAAUGCGUAGAUAUCAGAAGGAACAUCAAUGGCGAAGGCAGCUUUCUGGACCAAUACUGACACUGAGGUACGAAAGCGUGGGUAGCAAACAGGAUUAGAUACCCUGGUAGUCCACGCCGUAAACGAUGAUAACUAGCCGUUGGGGGGAUUUACCCUUUAGUGGCGAAGCUAACGCGUUAAGUUAUCCGCCUGGGGAGUACGGCCGCAAGGUUAAAACUCAAAGGAAUUGACGGGGACCCGCACAAGCGGUGGAGCAUGUGGUUUAAUUCGAUGCAACGCGAAGAACCUUACCUGGUCUUGACAUCCUGCGAACUUUCUAGAAAUAGAUUGGUGCCUUCGGGAACGCAGUGACAGGUGCUGCAUGGCUGUCGUCAGCUCGUGUCGUGAGAUGUUGGGUUAAGUCCCGUAACGAGCGCAACCCCUAUCCUUAUUUGCCAGCACAUUAUGGUGGGAACUAUAAGGAGACUGCCGGUGAUAAACCGGAGGAAGGCGGGGACGACGUCAAGUCAUCACGGCCCUUACGACCAGGGCUACACACGUGCUACAAUGGGAAGGACAAAGAGCCGCGAAGCCGCGAGGUGUAGCUAAUCUCAUAAACCUUUUCGUAGUCCGGAUUGGAGUCUGCAACUCGACUCCAUGAAGUCGGAAUCGCUAGUAAUCGUAGAUCAGAAUGCUACGGUGAAUACGUUCCCGGGUCUUGUACUCACCGCCCGUC